Molecule: long non-coding RNA, 5253 nt
Organism: Lutra lutra (Eurasian river otter)
Lineage: Eukaryota; Metazoa; Chordata; Mammalia; Carnivora; Mustelidae
Exons: 6
Source: RefSeq, a predicted model, not a curated record
UUCAUUGGGGACGUGUAGGACCACCUGCAGGGCCCGUGAGCCCCAGCGCCUGUGAAGGGCCGCCGACUGACCGCAGCGACCGGCUGCUGAUCUGUGUCAGGGAGCACGGGAGCAGGUUUGGGGGAUCUCUGAACACGGAGGGCGCGGCUAGUGGCACGCCUGAGCUCAUGGUGAGCUUGGCUACGUGGGUGGAUACAGGAAGCUGUGCGGCCGGGUCGGCCGCCCCUGAAUGAGGCGUGUCUGAGGGGUCCUCUCCGCCCCAGCCGGCCAGAGCAUGUGGUCUGGGAAGCAUCUGCCUCCAUCGUGGUCACAGGACGCAAACUGGCCUUGGGAAAGGCGGGGUGGGGUGUGAGAGGGGCGGUGCGCAGGCGUCCUGAGACAGUUAGGUCUUGCUUAGGGGCAGAGGAGGCAGGUCAUAAAACUUGACCCUCCCGUCAGGAAGCCAGAUUCGGUCAGCAGAUCAUCGUGCAGGGUGGCCUGUGUUGUGAGCCCGAGAACUCUGGGUGCAGACUCACUCUCAGGGGAGGUAAACAGCCUGGAGGGCGGUGCCAGUGUCUCCUGGAAGCCAAGGGUCAGUUUGCUUCCUGUCCGGAGUCUUAGAUAUGGCAUCUCCCCCUGGACAAAAGGCAGCUGGCAUCCAGCCCAUCAUAGGGAUCAGGGUUCCCUGGGCUUGGGGUCCCCCCCACUGUGAUGCAGACAGGCAGGAGGGGACGCAUGCACCUGCACCAUUUGCAGGAUUCCACAUUGGCUCAUAGCUCACAGCUCCCGGAGGCCACAGGCUGUUAGGACGCCUGUUCCAGGGUGUCUGGGCAUGGUCAUGUCCAUGGGGAGGCGUGACCUGGCAUCUCCAGUGUCUAUGAGGGAGACGCGGUGGGGACAGGACUUCCCAGCAGGUGCAGUGCUGGCUGUCCCCAUUCUGCCCCCCACGGUUGGUCUUGACGCUUCUCCCAGACUGUGGGGUGAGCGUGGCCCCAGCACACAGGGCACAGACUGAAAGGGUCAGGCAUCCUCAGAGAGCCGUCAGCUCUGACCUCCAGAUGUGGGGGCCUCACAAGGAAAUGAGUGCUCAGUGGUUCAUCUGGGAAAGCAUUGCUGGGAACAGGACUGACACCCACGAGACCGGAGAGUCCCUGAGUCAUCCGUGCAGAUCGAGUUCUCCCUUGGAUCCAGGCGGCAAGUAUCUUCAUGUCUCCAGUGCAUGCUGUUUAAAGUGCUCCUUUCUGCACGUCCCUGAGUUCCUCUCCUUGGACUCUUCCCCUAAGUGAAUCAUUUGGAGUCAGUUGCUGAUGGGGGAAAGCGUCCCGACAGCACAAGUGUGGGGUUUGUCCUGGCGUCUGGAUCCAUGUCGGGUUUUGCAGGACAGAAGACGGCUUGUUUUCCCCUUCUUCAAAUAAAUGGAGAUCUCAUGGGCUGGGGAAGGAGAGGGGCUGAUGCCUGGGCAGGGACCACUCGUGGCUGCCGCAGGCUCAGUGCCCCAACUAUCGCUGGGACUGUCUGUCUGUGUUCACCUUACGAGGACAAGCCACAGUCCUUACGUGGCCCAGGAGCCAGUGUUUCCACUCUGGGCAUGAGGAAGGGUAAGUAUGAAGCCCCAAGCAUGGGUCUGGUCCCUGCUUUGGUCCCUGCUCUCUGCCCCAUUGGCCGCAUUUCAAACCUACCACCUCUGAAGGACACCUUUGGGUCUGGUGGCUGGGUCAGGGCCCUGUCCCCAGGGGCGUGCAUCCUGCAGAAGAGAGGACGAGGACCUCUCCCUGCAGCUCUGACCCAGGCCAGCCCCAUCAGCCUAGGAUGUGGCAGACUCUGGCCAUCACUGUGUCCGUCAACGACAUGUCCCUACAGAGCGUUUCCAUGAUGCGCCACUAGCAGAACUUAGAUUUUACGCUGAGGGAACCAGACUGGGGCUUCUAAUCGGGGGUGGGGACAGCACCGACCUGAAGGAAAUACUCCCGACGACAUGUCGGCAUUAGGUAUCUUUCUAAUUGUGGAGUAAAUCAAAGGCAGAGUCAGAGGAAAUCUCACGACCCGUGGAAAAGCAAACCCCAUGCGCCUCUCCACUCUGGGAUGGCCUGGGAUUCCCGGGCAGGAGCCCAACACUCUUGAAUGGCUGAACUCUGAAGUUCAAGGAUAGACGGGUUCCUGGGCUGAGGUGGCUCUGGGCGAGGAGAACGGGCAGACGGAGAACGGGAAAGUUUCCACGGUGCUGGCUCAUCUGCUGCUUCUCCUGUGGGUGUCCAGGUCCCCCCCGCAAGCAGGCAGGGUGAACACAGGCACCCUGGGAGGGCCCCGGAAGGGAGGCAGAUGUAUAGCAAAGCCUUUCCCAGAGGAUGGCCAGUGGGACACCUGUGCGUCAGCAGGAGGUGGGACUCGGGACUUUCCCAGCAAAGGUUGAGCUCCGUCAAGCUCCCGGGCCCUGGUGCCCGCAGCCAACUCCUCCCCCGGGUCUGCUCCUGGUACCCUGUUCUCCGUCUGCACAUCGGGGAGGGCUCCCAUCGCUCCACCAGUCUCGGCGUGGGCACCGGGCUGCCUCGUUCGUGGUCACAGGAGGCUGACACUGGCGUCGGAGAGACCGGUCCUGGAGGGGAGGCCCGUGCUGGAAGACUGGGGUGUGCAGGAGCCAUUCUGGGGACAACUUACUGCAGUUUAAAGCACUCCUGAUCGUAGAGGAAGGCAAGACGCUUGUCACUAAUGCUGCGCACUGAGUCAGGGGAACUGUUGCUCCGCGAAGCCCAGCAGCAGGGCGGGAACGAAAGGUUUCCUUGGGAAACCCCCAGCAACUUCGUCCAGACCUCCUUCCCGGUGCCCAGUCAGGGCCCAGGCCCAUAAUGGAUGCUGAUUCUCAGCUGCCUCACUGCUCGACCCUGAACGCAUGUCCCCGGAACUAGCCCAUCUCCUGCCGUCAUUCCUGUACACUUGCACACCUUCCUCAAAUGCUGGCUGCCACCAGGGAAGUAGCAAACUGUGAGCCAUCUUUCCUGUGUCUCCAAUGAAGUCGCAUCAUUAGAAACUCCUCCUGUGGGUGCGAAAGUGUGUUUCAUCAGCGUUUCGUAGGAAUUGCUGCAUCCCGCGAUGACGUGCCCAAUUCCUACACACCGCGUGUUCCCAGGAAGACUUCCAUGUCUAUGCAAGUGAGGUUUAACAUGCCAUUGUUCUGGAAUGUGUGAUUUAUUGAUAACAGACUUACUGCUUUUGACCACAUAGAGAAUUUUCAUAAGGUGCCUACUUGGCCUUCUUUUUUCAUCCACAAAGAGAAGAGUUUGUUCAAAUGUAAACACGCAGGAUGAGGAUGCCUUCUUGUUUAUCCUACGAAUUAUUCACUGGAUAUCCAUACAGCACAAAAACUGCUCCACAUCGCCCUUGGCCAUAGGGAUGGGCUCCUGCCUGCAAGGGUCUCGCUGUCUCUCCACCUUCCGGUGCCGGCCCCUUGGCCCUUGCACAGCUCGCGUCCCACUUCCCUUCCUCACCUGGGCACGUUCUCCCCGACCUCCGAGCCACGGCUCAGACACCACCUCCGGGAACGUUGCCAUUGCUACCCAGACUGGACACACUGAUUAGAGGUUUGCCACACUGAACAGUCUGCCUAGAUGGCAGAAUUCUUGAAUUCAGAGCAUGCAUGCCGUUUGCCACUUGAUCAUGGAAAUACAUGUCUUACAAGUAAAUGAAUGUGGGUGUUUCUGAAGUGUACUUUUUAUCGUUUUGAAAUCAUUCAGAUUUGCAGCAAAGUUACAAAAAUAGUUCAAAGAACACGUGUAUGUCUUCGUGGAUAAUUCCCACAUUUGUUCAAUUAUUAAUUCACUCUCUACCCACGUAGUAAUGUACAAGUAUCUAUUAACAUUUUGUAACUUUUUAUUUUGCUGUAAUUGCAAACUGACACAAACACGCAGGAAUUGUACAAAGUUCUUCUGCAUGGCCUCACGCACACCCACCAGCGAGCCGCAGUUCGUCCCAUUGACUGUCUCUCCCGCAUCCUUCCACCCCCACACAAACACAUUUAUACAUUUGUGUAUGUCUGUGCGUAUUGGGUUUGUCUUAAUUUUGUGACAGCGGCCUGGAGUCGUGCUGCUGGCCUGUAACACUUUGGUGAGAAUUGGAUACACACAGGAUGUUCUUUCAAAGAACAACCGAACAAAAUCAGGAUAGGAAACUCUGUUGAUGGAGACCAUUGUGAGUUGUCACUUUGGACACAAAUCUUGAUAACAGUCACUGUAACUGUAUUUCAAGCUACUUUCCCUGGUCCAGGAUCUAAUCAAGAGCCAUAGUCCCAUGUGUCUGGUCCCCUUUAUUCUAGAAGGUCCUGUAGCCUGUCUUCAUCCCCGGGGACAUGACACUUGGGAAUAGGGCAGCUCAUCUAUCUCACAGAACGUCAGUUUGGGUCUGCGUAUUGCUUCAUCCUGAUAGAUUUCCUGAGCACUUUGUCAGUGAGGCCUCGGGAGGGAUGCGGUGCCCUUCUCUGGGCAUCUCAGUGAGCAGAGAUGCCCGCCUGACUCCACUACCAUGUCAUGGGUGCAAAGUGGUAAUUCUCUGCAAGCUGGCUUCUGCCAUAAGGUGAGGGAUCCUCGUCUUCCUUUGGCUUUGUGUGUGCACAUACACAUCUGGGGAUGUGAAGGGCGGACAGGCCCUCUUCCUGGGGCGCUCACCGCCUGGUUCUGGGUCUGGACUCUGUGCUGAUCGGCACCUUCAGUACUCUCAGGAAGUGUCCACAAUGUUUACUGUUCUCAUUGUACAGAUAAAGAGACUGACCUGUUAAGAACCCGCUCUCACAGAAAUAAUUUUAUAAAUAGCAAAACCAGAAUUCAAGCCAGGAGCUCCUAAGCCCAGAACCCAGGCCUGUCAGUUCUGUAGCAGGUGGACUUCUGUGGGUGGUAAGGGACGGAAAUCCACCUGGAACCAGCCUUGGCAGAAAAGAGGACACUGGGGGUCCCCUCCAUCCAGGCGAGUGAUGAAAGUACUGGUCAGGUGGAAAAAUCCUCCUGCUCCUCCCAGAAACAUGGUCAGGUGAGGGAAGACAUCGGCUGGAUUAUAGGAUGAAAGCUUGAUUUCUGACCAGACAAGGGUGACAGCCUGCAGAGAAGUUUGGACCAGCCCCCUUGGUGCACGAAACAGCAAGGCCAGUGCCUACCAUCCUUCCGUGUGGGGUGUUUGCAGAGCAGCUGAUCCCAAGCUGCGGAGUUCACAUGUGUGGCUCUUUCUACAGCUCUAGACGCACCAGUGAGCCAUGAAGAAAAAACUCAGCUAUAAAAAGAAAGACAACCCACU